This 1310-nucleotide long non-coding RNA is filed under the name Medicago truncatula (barrel medic). Its description in RNAcentral is "long non-coding RNA (MTRU_LNC008163)". Lineage: Eukaryota; Viridiplantae; Streptophyta; Magnoliopsida; Fabales; Fabaceae. The record is from RNAcentral.
CUCCUCUCAUAAUCACCCUUCCUCCAUCCUUGUUCAAUAUCAUCCUCUCUUGUCUGAAAAUCACCAUAAACAAUACAAAAACAACACAAAGUCACCAAUUUAGUCCUCAAAUUUGCAAUACACUAUUAACUUAGUUCCUAAAAAUAACAAAAUUUCAUUGAAUUAAAAAAAUUCUCACUCACAUUUUAUGUUUGACAAUUAUAGUACUAAAUUGAAUGGUUAAAAAGAUACUAAAAUAGCAUGAUCUACAAUUCAUUUUCAAAUAACUUAGAUAUGGUCUAACUCAACUCUUACAAAACAGAUUUGUGAGGUUAGAACUAUUGAUCACUUAUAAACACAUUUUCAAGCGUAUAUUAGUGUGAGACUAUUUAUUAACCAUAAUUGUAAAAUGUUAAUCAAAUUCGUCCUCUAAUUUCAACAAUGUGAGGAAUAAACUUGUACAAUACUACAAUUUAACCAAUAUAUGGAUAUUUACUCAAUCUCAAUGACUAAAUUAGCAAUUGAAUAAUAAAAAUUUCAUACAAUAAAUAAAAACUUAAAAGAGAGUUUGAGUUGAACCUUGUUGUAAACAAAAGAAACUUAGACAUCCUUGGCAAUGAGUUCACCAUUCACCAACUCUCUAUAAGCAGCAAUAGGCCAACUGAACCCUCUAAAAACCAAUCUAGAAGCAAGAGGAACAUCAAUAAUAAUCUCUUUCUGAGUAGGUUUCUUCUCAUCACGAAUAGCAAUCAAAUAACUCCUACCAACCCAUCCAAUCCAACCAGCAAUAUACAAAAACAAUAUCCCUGGUGUGAUAAACUCACCCCAAUGUCUUUGAUCACCAUUCACUAUCAAAUGUGGUAAACCAUCAGCACCACACAACAAACCUUGCUUUCCAUAGUUAUCAAACCUUCUCUUGGUUUUCUCAACUGUUGCUUUUAUGGCCAGCGCUGGAGCGCUGUCCGGAGCGUAAAGCUUGAGUGAUGAUUCAAGCUUUUUGAUUGAUUGUUUCUCACGUUUGGCGAAUUGUUUUGAUUCUCUGCAUGGUGUUAGGCCGGAGAUGUCGGCGACAGCGGGGAGUGGUGAUGAGAUGAGGAUUGAUGAGAGUGCUAGUGCUGCUGAGAAUGCUUUUAGAUUUGAGUUUACAUCGUUGGUUGGUUUUUCUUGGUUUGUGCUGCAGUGGAUGAUGUUGGUUGAGAGUUUUGGUUUUUGAGGUAAUUUUGGUCUUAGGGUUGAGGUGGGUUUGGAGAGGUUAGUUGGAAUUGUUAGAGACAUUUUUGUGUGGAAGAAGAAGAGAAGAGGGAGUGAAGGGUGUUGGAUUUGAUUUGUGU